This 439-nucleotide ribosomal RNA is filed under the name Mustela putorius (European polecat). RNAcentral's name for it is "partial 12S ribosomal RNA". The record is from RNAcentral. Lineage: Eukaryota; Metazoa; Chordata; Mammalia; Carnivora; Mustelidae.
CAAAGGUUUGGUCCUAGCCUUCCUAUUGAUUAUUAACAGAAUUACACAUGCAAGUCUCUACACCCCAGUGAGAAUGCCCUCYAAAUCUAUAUGUUGAUUAAAAGGAGCGGGUAUCAAGCACACUAAAUUAGUAGCUCAUAACGCCUUGCUCAACCACACCCCCACGGGAUACAGCAGUGAUAAAAAUUAAGCCAUAAACGAAAGUUUGACUAAGCCAUGUUAACAAAGAGCUGGUAAAUUUCGUGCCAGCCACCGCGGUCAUACGAUUAGCCCGAAUCAAUAGGCAAACGGCGUAAAACGUGUUAAGGAUUAUAUUAUACUAAAGUUAAAAUUUGACAAGGCUGUAAAAAGCUACUGUUAAUAUAAGAUAAACCACGAAAGUGACUUUAUUACUUCCAUCAACACGAUAGCUGAGACCCAAACUGGGAUUAGAUACCCC